RNAcentral lists this ribosomal RNA (322 nucleotides) under uncultured eukaryote. Its description in RNAcentral is "partial 18S ribosomal RNA". It matches the Rfam family "Eukaryotic small subunit ribosomal RNA", at positions 1470 to 1796 of the family's 1831-position model. The record is from RNAcentral.
CCCUUAGAUGUUCUGGGCCGCACGCGUGCUACACUGAGUGGAUCAGCGGGUCAGGUUGCGCGAAAGUGUUUCCUAAUCUUUAAAUCCGCUCGUGAUGGGGAUUGACGGUUGCAAUUUUCCGUCAUGAACGAGUAAUACCUUGUAAGCGCGGGUCAUCAUCCCGCGCUGAAUACGUCCCUGCCCUUUGUACACACCGCCCGUCGCUCCUACCGAUUGAGUGGUCCGGUGAGGCUUUGGGAUCUGAGCGGAAAGAGCGUUUCGCUGUUUCUGCCCGGAAAACUCAGUCGAACCUUAUCAUUUAGAGGAAGGAGAAGUCGUAACA